AGUCGUAACAAGGUUUCCGUAGGUGAACCUGCGGAAGGAUCAUUAUUGAAAUAAACCUGAUGGGUUGUUGCUGGCUCUCUAGGGAGCAUGUGCACGCCUUGUCAUCUUUAUAUCUCCACCUGUGCACUUUUUGUAGACCUGAAAAGGUCUAUGUUGCUUCAUUUUACCCCAAUGUAUGUCUAUAGAAUGUUGUGCCUAUGAUAAUAUAUACAACUUUCAGCAACGGAUCUCUUGGCUCUCGCAUCGAUGAAGAACGCAGCGAAAUGCGAUAAGUAAUGUGAAUUACAGAAUUCAGUGAAUCAUCGAAUCUUUGAACGCACCUUGCGCUCCUUGGUAUUCCGAGGAGCAUGCCUGUUUGAGUGUCAUUAAUAUAAUCAACCUUCAACUUGUUUGAGUGGUUUGGAUGUGGGGGUUUGCUGGCCUCUCAAAAGGNUUCAGCUCCUCUGAAAUGCAUUAGCAGAACAAACCUUGUUCAUUGGUGUGAUAACUAUCUACGCUUAUGAAUGUGAGGGGCAGUUCAGCUUUCUAAUCGUCUUUGGACAAUUCAUCAUUAAUGUGACCUCAAAUCAGGUAGGACUACCCGCUGAACUUAAGCAUAUCAAUAAGCGGAGGAAAAGAAACUAACAAGGAUUCCCCUAGUAACUGCGAGUGAAGCGGGAAAAGCUCAAAUUUAAAAUCUGGCGGUCUUUUNGCUGUCCGAGUUGUAAUCUAGAGAAGUGUUAUCCGCGCUGGACCGUGUACAANUCUCCUGGAAUGGAGCAUCAUAGAGGGUGAGAAUCCCGUCUUUGACAUGGACUGCCAGGGCUUUGUGAUGCGCUCUCAAAGAGUCGAGUUGUUUGGGAAUGCAGCUCAAAAUGGGUGGUAAAUUCCAUCUAAAGCUAAAUAUUGGCGAGAGACCGAUAGCGAACAAGUACCGUGAGGGAAAGAUGAAAAGAACUUUGGAAAGAGAGUUAAACAGUACGUGAAAUUGCUGAAAGGGAAACGCUUGAAGUCAGUCGCGUUGUCCAGGGAUCAACCUUGCUUUUGCUUGGUGCACUUCCUGGUUCGACGGGUCAGCAUCAAUUUUGAUCGUUGGAAAAAGGCUGGGGGAAUGUGGCAUCUCUGGAUGUGUUAUAGCCCUUGGUCACAUACAAUGGUUGGGAUUGAGGAACUCAGCACGCCGCAAGGCCGGGUUUUAAACCACGUACGUGCUUAGGAUGCUGGCAAUAUGGCUUUAAUCGACC
Molecule: ribosomal RNA, 1223 nt
Filed under: uncultured fungus
Lineage: Eukaryota; Fungi
Description: eukaryotic LSU rRNA
Rfam family: Eukaryotic large subunit ribosomal RNA (bases 557-1223)
Source: RNAcentral